GGAGGAGCCUUCAGGCAUCGUUCACCCUCUCAUCCCCUCAAAAUGUUUCCAGAGCCCCCCACAUGUGUCAGGUUGUGUAUCAGGCACAGAGGGUCCAGAUGCCAUCAAACACAGCUCACCGCCAAGGGUAAGAACGAAGAUUGAGCGAAAUCACUUUCGAGAAGCGCCUAGCACAUCGCUUGCCACAGAGAGAUGUCUCCUGUAACUCACAGCUAACCCCCUCACGGGUGACCUGGGACAGAGGACUGCCCUCCUCUGGCUCAUCACCCCCCACCCAUGUCUGGGAUCUGUAAGUAAUAAAUCUUGUG
Molecule: long non-coding RNA, 308 nt
Organism: Zalophus californianus (California sea lion)
Lineage: Eukaryota; Metazoa; Chordata; Mammalia; Carnivora; Otariidae
Exons: 3
Source: RefSeq, a predicted model, not a curated record